GGAAGGGCACCACCAGGAGUGGAGCCUGCGGCUUAAUUUGACUCAACACGGGGAAACUCACCAGGUCCAGACACAUUAAGGAUUGACAGAUUGAGAGCUCUUUCUUGAUCAUGUGGGUGGUGGUGCAUGGCCGUUCUUAGUUGGUGGAGUGAUUUGUCUGCUUAAUUGCGAUAACGAACGAGACCUUAACCUGCUAAAUAGCCAGGCCCGCUUUUGCGGGUCGCCGGCUUCUUAGAGGGACUAUCGGAUUUCAAGUCGAUGGAAGUUUGAGGCAAUAACAGGUCUGUGAUGCCCUUAGAUGUUCUGGGCCGCACGCGCGCUACACUGACAGAGCCAACGAGUACAUCACCUUGGCCGGAAGGUCUGGGUAAUCUUGUUAAACUCUGUCGUGCUGGGGAUAGAGCAUUGCAAUUAUUGCUCUUCAACGAGGAAUUCCUAGUAAGCGCAAGUCAUCAGCUUGCGUUGAUUACGUCCCUGCCCUUUGUACACACCGCCCGUCGCUACUACCGAUUGAAUGGCUUAGUGAGGCUUCAGGAUCGUCCAGUGGAGAUCGGCAACGAUCACCACCGGAUGAAAAUCUAGUCAAACUUGGUCAUUUAGAGGAAGUAAAAGUCGUAACAAGGUUUCCGUAGGUGAACCUGCGGAAGGAUCAUUAAAAGAUAUGGCAUGUCCCCUGUGGAUAUUACCAAUCAACCCAUUCUGAGUACCUUACCUGUUGCUUCCACACAGUGUCUGUGCAUUAGUACUGACAUCCUGAUGAUAGGUGAAAGCCUAUCGGAGGGAGAUGUGUGGAGGGUAUACUUAUAAACUCUUGCAUUACCAUGUAUUCUGUCUGAUAAUGUUUAAUAUAAACUAUUAAAACUUUCAACAACGGAUCUCUUGGUUCUCGCAUCGAUGAAGAACGCAGCGAAAUGCGAUAAGUAAUGUGAAUUGCAGAAUUCAGUGAAUCAUCGAAUCUUUGAACGCACAUUGCGCCUCCUGGUAUUCCGGGAGGCAUGCCUGUUCGAGCGUCAUUAUAAUCUACUCAAGCUCUUUUGCUUGGUAUUGAGAGAUGAGUAUGCCUCUGCGUACUCACUUUCGAAAUCCAAAGGCGUAGAGCCCCACGUGCCACGGCGUAGUAAGUUUUCUUUCGCUUGGAAUGUGAGGGUGAUAUUGCCACAAACCCCCAACUUUUCUAGAUUGACCUCGAAUCAGGUAGGGAUACCCGCUGAACUUAAGCAUAUCAAUAAGCGGAGGAAAAGAAACCAACAGGGAUUGCCUUAGUAACUGCGAGUGAAGCGGCAAAAGCUCAAAUUUGAAAUCUGGCGUCUUCGGCGUCCGAAUUGUAAUUUGGAGGGGCAUCUUCGGAGUUGGCGCCGUCCUAAGUUCCUUGGAACAGGACGUCAUAGAGGGUGAGAAUCCCGUGCCUGGAUGGCUGUCCAUCUCCAUGUGAAGUGUCUCCGACGAGUCGAGUUGUUUGGGAAUGCAGCUCAAAAUGGGUGGUAAAUUUCAUCUAAAGCUAAAUAUUGGCGAGAGACCGAUAGCGCACAAGUAGAGUGAUCGAAAGAUGAAAAGCACUUUGAAAAGAGAGUUAAAAAGUACGUGAAAUUGUUGAAAGGGAAGCGCUUGAGACCAGACUCAACUUUAGGUAAUCAGCCGUGCUUCUGUGCGGUGCACUUGCCUUUAGUUGGACCAGCAUCGGUUUUGACGGUGGGAUAAAAGGUGGAGGAAUGUGGCUCUCUUCGGGGAGUGUUAUAGCCUCUGUCACAAUGCCACCAGUUGGGACCGAGGACCGCGCUUCGGCUAGGAUGCUGGCGUAAUGGUCUUAAGCGACCCGUCUUGAAACACGGACCAAGGAGUCUAACAUCUAUGCGAGUGUUCGGGUGGAAAACCCUUGCGCGUAAUGAAAGUGAACGGAGGUGGGAACCUUUCGGGGUGCACCAUCGACCGAUCCUGAUGUCUUCGGAAGGAUUUGAGUAAGAGCAUAGCUGUUGGGACCCGAAAGAUGGUGAACUAUGCCUGAAUAGGGUGAAGCCAGAGGAAACUCUGGUGGAGGCUCGCAGCGGUUCUGACGUGCAAAUCGAUCGUCAAAUUUGGGUAUAGGGGCGAAAGACUAAUCGAACC
This 2103-nucleotide ribosomal RNA is filed under the name uncultured fungus. RNAcentral's name for it is "bacterial SSU rRNA". The stretch from base 1181 to 2103 matches the Rfam family "Eukaryotic large subunit ribosomal RNA", at positions 1 to 941 of the family's 3401-position model. Lineage: Eukaryota; Fungi. The record is from RNAcentral.